Molecule: ribosomal RNA, 305 nt
Filed under: uncultured bacterium
Lineage: Bacteria
Description: bacterial SSU rRNA
Rfam family: Bacterial small subunit ribosomal RNA
Source: RNAcentral
ACCUACGGGAGGCAGCAGUGGGGAAUAUUGCACAAUGGGGGGAACCCUGAUGCAGCGACGCCGCGUGAGUGAAGAAGUAUUUCGGUAUGUAAAGCUCUAUCAGCAGGGAAGAAAAUGACGGUACCUGACUAAGAAGCCCCGGCUAACUACGUGCCAGCAGCCGCGGUAAUACGUAGGGGGCAGGCGUUAUCCGGAGUUACUGGGUGUAAAGGGAGCGUAGACGGUAAUGCAAGUCUGGAGUGAAAGGCGGGGGCCCAACCCCCGGACUGCUCUGGAAACUGUGUAACUGGAGUGCAGGAGAGGCG